This 206-nucleotide unclassified non-coding RNA is filed under the name Hevea brasiliensis (rubber tree). Lineage: Eukaryota; Viridiplantae; Streptophyta; Magnoliopsida; Malpighiales; Euphorbiaceae. The record is from RNAcentral.
AAGGGGGAAAACUGACUUAUACUAUGAUAUAUGUUAAUCUGAACAAUUUGGGAAAUGAAAAUCACUUGUAGAUAUAGUGUGAAUUGUUAUUCCUAAAUUAUGUUUUCUGUUUUCAUUUAUUUUUUAUGUGAAUCCUGGGUGUCAUAUAAUGUUAUUAUUUGAAUGCUCCCAAACUUGGUCUCAGGACUUGUUGUCCCAGAUGUACC